GUGGGGAAUAUUGGACAAUGGGCGAAAGCCUGAUCCAGCCAUGCCGCGUGUGUGAAGAAGGCCUUUUGGUUGUAAAGCACUUUAAGCGAGGAGGAGGCUACCGAGAUUAAUACCCUUGGAUAGUGGACGUUACUCGCAGAAUAAGCACCGGCUAACUCUGUGCCAGCAGCCGCGGUAAUACAGAGGGUGCGAGCGUUAAUCGGAUUUACUGGGCGUAAAGCGUGCGUAGGCGGCUUUUUAAGUCGGAUGUGAAAUCCCUGAGCUUAACUUAGGAAUUGCAUUCGAUACUGGGAAGCUAGAGUAUGGGAGAGGAUGGUAGAAUUCCAGGUGUAGCGGUGAAAUGCGUAGAGAUCUGGAGGAAUACCGAUGGCGAAGGCAGCCAUCUGGCCUAAUACUGACGCUGAGGUACGAAAGCAUGGGGAGCAAACAGGAUUAGAUACCCCUGUAGUCC
RNAcentral lists this ribosomal RNA (451 nucleotides) under uncultured bacterium. RNAcentral's name for it is "partial 16S ribosomal RNA". It matches the Rfam family "Bacterial small subunit ribosomal RNA", at positions 354 to 796 of the family's 1533-position model. The record is from RNAcentral.